This 474-nucleotide ribosomal RNA is filed under the name uncultured bacterium. Its description in RNAcentral is "partial 16S ribosomal RNA". It matches the Rfam family "Bacterial small subunit ribosomal RNA", at positions 28 to 507 of the family's 1533-position model. The record is from RNAcentral.
GACGAACGCUGGCGGCGUGCUUAACACAUGCAAGUCGAGCGGUAAGGCUCCUUCGGGAGUACACGAGCGGCGAACGGGUGAGUAACACGUGCGUAAUCUGCCCUUCCCUUCGGGAUAACCACCGGAAACGGUGGCUAAUACCGAAUACGACCAGUCUUCGCAUGAGGUGCUGGUGGAAAGUCUUUUCGGUGAAGGAUGUGCUCGCGGCCUAUCAGCUUGUUGGUGGGGUAAUGGCCUACCAAGGCUUCGACGGGUAGCCGGCAUGAGAGGGUGACCGGCCACACUGGGACUGAGACACGGCCCAGACGCCUACGGGAGGCAGCAGUGGGGAAUAUUGGACAAUGGGCGAAAGCCUGAUCCAGCAACGCCGCGUGAGGGAUGACGGCCUUCGGGUUGUAAACCUCUUGCAGUACCGACGAAGCGCCCUGUCGGGUGGUGACGGUAGGUACAGAAGAAGGACCGGCCAACUACGUG